GUACUCUCACACUUCUGAUCCUUUGGAUUUGGAGCAGUGGACUUGGGUGUUGCCGCUUUGCGGUGGCUCACCUCAAAUAGAUUAGUACAACUCUUGGUUGACCAUAGUACGGCGUGAUAAGUAUCUUCGCCGGCACCUCGCAAGAGGGUGGCUGAUCGAGUGCUCUGUGCUUUCAAACCGUCCUCGGACAAUGACUGACA
RNAcentral lists this unclassified non-coding RNA (200 nucleotides) under uncultured Sebacinales. Its description in RNAcentral is "sequence contains ITS2". Lineage: Eukaryota; Fungi; Basidiomycota; Agaricomycetes; Sebacinales. The record is from RNAcentral.